RNAcentral lists this ribosomal RNA (819 nucleotides) under Streptomyces sp. MOLA 1579. RNAcentral describes it as "bacterial SSU rRNA". It matches the Rfam family "Bacterial small subunit ribosomal RNA", at positions 23 to 857 of the family's 1533-position model. Lineage: Bacteria; Bacillati; Actinomycetota; Actinomycetes; Kitasatosporales; Streptomycetaceae. The record is from RNAcentral.
CUCAGGACGAACGCUGGCGGCGUGCUUAACACAUGCAAGUCGAACGAUGAAGCCUUUCGGGGUGGAUUAGUGGCGAACGGGUGAGUAACACGUGGGCAAUCUGCCCUUCACUCUGGGACAAGCCCUGGAAACGGGGUCUAAUACCGGAUAAUACUUUCUCUCUCAUGGGGGAAGGUUAAAAGCUCCGGCGGUGAAGGAUGAGCCCGCGGCCUAUCAGCUAGUUGGUGGGGUAAUGGCCUACCAAGGCGACGACGGGUAGCCGGCCUGAGAGGGCGACCGGCCACACUGGGACUGAGACACGGCCCAGACUCCUACGGGAGGCAGCAGUGGGGAAUAUUGCACAAUGGGCGAAAGCCUGAUGCAGCGACGCCGCGUGAGGGAUGACGGCCUUCGGGUUGUAAACCUCUUUCAGCAGGGAAGAAGCGAAAGUGACGGUACCUGCAGAAGAAGCGCCGGCUAACUACGUGCCAGCAGCCGCGGUAAUACGUAGGGCGCAAGCGUUGUCCGGAAUUAUUGGGCGUAAAGAGCUCGUAGGCGGCUUGUUGCGUCGGUUGUGAAAGCCCGGGGCUUAACCCCGGGUCUGCAGUCGAUACGGGCAGGCUAGAGUGUGGUAGGGGAGAUCGGAAUUCCUGGUGUAGCGGUGAAAUGCGCAGAUAUCAGGAGGAACACCGGUGGCGAAGGCGGAUCUCUGGGCCAUUACUGACGCUGAGGAGCGAAAGCGUGGGGAGCGAACAGGAUUAGAUACCCUGGUAGUCCACGCCGUAAACGUUGGGAACUAGGUGUUGGCGACAUUCCACGUCGUCGGUGCCGCAGCUAACG